RNAcentral lists this unclassified non-coding RNA (991 nucleotides) under Leishmania donovani. RNAcentral describes it as "gene:unknown". The record is from RNAcentral. Lineage: Eukaryota; Euglenozoa; Kinetoplastea; Trypanosomatida; Trypanosomatidae.
UGCUUUCCACUGUGCUCCUCCUUGCCGACCUCUUUGGCACGCUCACCCCUCUCCGAUUGGUCUCCCCCGCCUCUCCCCGGCAUCAUCGCGCACCCCUCGCCUCUGCCCUUCUCCGCACGUUUGGUGGCUCACUGCCGUGUCUCUUUUUUUGUGCUUUCUCCGUCUUUGUUGUGUUUGCGCUCUCCUCACUACUCUCCUCUCGUGCGCUCGUGUGCGCGCACCCGCUGUAUCUCCACCCAACCCUCUCCCGUGCCUUUCAUGUUUUUUUUCUCCCUCUGUCUGAGGCGACGAGCGGCACUGUCGGUGGCUGAUGGCGGUCUAUUGCCGGUGGUGGCGCAUGAGUGUGUGCGUGCUGGCGGCUCCUCCUGUCUCUUGCUGGUUUUCUCUCUUUCCCGUUUUCUUGUUGCCUCUCUUUUCUCUCUCGAUGCGUUGCUUCCCUGCGCACAGGCCCUCUUGGUGCGAUACAUGAGAAGCGUACGCUAGCCGUUGCGUACCUCUCAAGAAACAUACGAUAUGGCGAGAACGAGCACUGUGAAUGCCGUACCCGCCGCGACAGCAGUGCGCGAUGCGCACACACGCGGGCACACCGAAAGAGCGAGCGUGCUGCCGUGUUGGACCCGACACACUGCCAGACUCGCCAUGUCCCACACACACACACACACACAGACGGACACGCCCUCGCUCUUGCGUGCUUGCCAUUCCCCUGCUUACUGUCCACGAGCAGGACGCCGUCACGGCGCGUGCGUGUCUGUGUGUGCUGCAGACUGGAGGGCAGGGAGCGGGUGACGUGAUGUGUCCGCCAACGGUGCGACUCGCUCGCUCUCUCGCUCUCCGACUCCCUGUCAUUCUCCAUCGCUGCCCGCGCUGCAGUCUUCACUGUACCCGCUCUUUUCUCCCCCGUCCUCUUUCGUGUUUCGGUGUCGACGCACACGCCGCCACCUCCCUCCCCGCACCUACCCCCGCCUGCACUCAUCACACCCUACGACGCCAG